Molecule: long non-coding RNA, 461 nt
Filed under: Triticum aestivum (bread wheat)
Lineage: Eukaryota; Viridiplantae; Streptophyta; Magnoliopsida; Poales; Poaceae
Description: long non-coding RNA (TAES_LNC005219)
Source: RNAcentral
CAGGCUUUGGGUCGGGCGUGGGCUUGGGGUCAGGCUUUGGCGCCGGUCUAGGGUCGGGCUGCGGGUCUGGUUUGGGGUCGGGUUUGGGUGCUGGGUCAGGUUUCGGCGCCGGUUUGGGGUCGGGCUUGGGUGCUGGGUCAGGUUUCGGCACCGGUUUUGGGUCUGGUUUUGGGUCAGGUUUUGGCGCGAGUUUAGGGUCGGGCUUGGGUGUCGGGUCAGGUUUCGGCGCGAGUUUAGGGUCGGUCUGCGGGUCUGGUUUGGGGUCAGGCUGUGGCGUAGGCUUCGGCUCUAGGCUGGGCUCAUGUUUCAGCUCCGGCGCCCUCCCAGCGACGGCGAGGCUAGCAACAUUUGCCGCGACGAGGGCCAACAGCAAGCACAGCGAGAAGGCGGAUGCCCUCAUCGUCGCCGAUCACUAGCUAGCUGCUCACAGCUCACUCAGCUCACUUGCUUUGUAGUAUGUG